UACGGGGGGGGUAAGCGUUGUUCGGAAUUACUGGGCGUAAAGGGCUCGUAGGCGGCCAACUAAGUCAGACGUGAAAUCCCCAGGCUUAACCUGGGAACUGCAUCCGAUACUGGAUGGCUUGAAUCCGGGAGAGGGAUGCAGAAUUCCAGGUGUAGCGGUGAAAUGCGUAGAUAUCUGGAGGAAUACCGGUGGCGAAGGCGGCAUCCUGGACCGGCAUUGACGCUGAUGAGCGAAAGCUAGGGGAGCAAACGGG
RNAcentral lists this ribosomal RNA (253 nucleotides) under uncultured bacterium. RNAcentral describes it as "partial 16S ribosomal RNA". It matches the Rfam family "Bacterial small subunit ribosomal RNA", at positions 524 to 776 of the family's 1533-position model. The record is from RNAcentral.